AGGGUGCGUACGCGGACUAAUUAUGCAGCGGUGAAAUUUUGCGGGUCAACCGUAAAACUGCCGUUGAAACUGUUAGUCUUGAGUGCGGUAGAGGUAGGCGGAAUGUGUGGUGUAGCGGUGAAAUGCUUAGAUAUCACACAGAACACCGAUUGCGUAGGCAGCUUACUGGAGCGCAACUGACGCUGAGGCACGAAAGCGUGGGGAUCGAACAGGAUUAAAUACCCUGGUGGUCCACGCUGUAAACGAUGAUCACUAGCUAUCGGCGAUAUACAGUCGGUGGCACAGCGAAAGCGUUAAGUGAUCCACCUGGGGAGUACGCCGGCAACGGUGAAACUCAAAGGAAUUGACGGGGGCCCGCACAAGCGGAGGAACAUGUGGUUUAAUUCGAUGAUACGCGAGGAACCUUACCCGGGCUUGAAAUGCAGAGGAAUAACGGUGAAAGUCGUUAGCCAGCAAUGGUCUCUGUGUAGGUGCUGCAUGGUUGUCGUCAGCUCGUGCCGUGAGGUGUCGGCUUAAGUGCCAUAACGAGCGCAACCCUUACCAUUAGUUACUAACGGGUUAUGCCGAGGACUCUAAUGGGACUGCCACCGUAAGGGUGUGAGGAAGGUGGGGAUGACGUCAAAUCAGCACGGCCCUUACGUCCGGGGCGACACACGUGUUACAAUGGGCGGCACAGAGGGCAGCGACUCCGCGAGGGGAAGCAAAUCUCAAAAAGCCGUUCUCAGUUCGGAUUGGAGUCUGCAACUCGACUCCAUGAAGCUGGAUUCGCUAGUAAUCGCGCAUCAGC
Molecule: ribosomal RNA, 787 nt
Filed under: uncultured bacterium
Lineage: Bacteria
Description: bacterial SSU rRNA
Rfam family: Bacterial small subunit ribosomal RNA
Source: RNAcentral